GAUGAACGCUGGCGGCGUGCCUAAUACAUGCAAGUCGAGCGAACAGACGCUGAGCUUGCUCCUUUCACGUUUGCGGCGGACGGGUGAGUCACACGUAUGUACCCCACCUAUAUGACUGGGAUAACUUCGGGACACCGGAGCUUAUACCGUAGAAUAUUUCGAACCGCGGGGUUCGAUAGUGAAAUAUGGCUUUGCUGGCACUAAUAGAUGGACCUGCGCCGUAUUAGCUAGUUGGUAAGUUAACGGCCUACCAAGGGAAGGAUGCGUUACCGACCUGAGAGGGUGGUCGGCCACACUGGAGCUGAGCCACCGUCAAUGCUCCUACGGGAGGGAGCAGUCGGGAAUCUUCGGCAGUGGGCGAAAGCCUGACGGAGCAACGCCGAGCGAGUGAUGAAGGUCUUCGGAUCGUAAAACUGUGUUAUUAGGUAAGAACAAAUUUGUAAGUAACUGUGCACGUCUUGACGGUACCUAAUCAGAAAGCCCCGGCUAACUACGUG
Molecule: ribosomal RNA, 497 nt
Filed under: uncultured bacterium
Lineage: Bacteria
Description: partial 16S ribosomal RNA
Rfam family: Bacterial small subunit ribosomal RNA
Source: RNAcentral